AGCGGUAAGGCCCUUCGGGGUACACGAGCGGCGAACGGGUGAGUAACACGUGAGCAACCUGCCCCUGACUCUGGGAUAAGCGGUGGAAACGCCGUCUAAUACCGGAUACGACCCGCCACCUCAUGGUGGAGGGUGGAAAGUUUUUCGGUCAGGGAUGGGCUCGCGGCCUAUCAGCUUGUUGGUGGGGUAACGGCCUACCAAGGCGAUUACGGGUAGCCGGCCUGAGAGGGCGACCGGCCACACUGGGACUGAGACACGGCCCAGACUCCUGCGGGAGGCAGCAGUGGGGAAUAUUGCGCAAUGGGCGAAAGCCUGACGCAGCGACGCCGCGUGGGGGAUGACGGCCUUCGGGUUGUAAACCUCUUUUACCACCAACGCAGGCUUCCAGUUCUCUGGAGGUUGACGGUAGGUGGGGAAUAAGGACCGGCUAACUACGUGCCAGCAGCCGCGGUAAUACGUAGGGUCCGAGCGUUGUCCGGAAUUAUUGGGCGUAAAGAGCUCGUAGGCGGCGUGUCGCGUCUGCUGUGAAAGACCGGGGCUUAACUCCGGUUCUGCAGUGGAUACGGGCAUGCUAGAGGUAGGUAGGGGAGACUGGAAUUCCUGGUGUAGCGGUGAAAUGCGCAGAUAUCAGGAGGAACACCGGUGGCGAAGGCGGGUCUCUGGGCCUUACCUGACGCUGAGGAGCGAAAGCAUGGG
RNAcentral lists this ribosomal RNA (696 nucleotides) under Nocardiopsis sp. YIM 100589. RNAcentral's name for it is "bacterial SSU rRNA". It matches the Rfam family "Bacterial small subunit ribosomal RNA", at positions 65 to 765 of the family's 1533-position model. Lineage: Bacteria; Bacillati; Actinomycetota; Actinomycetes; Streptosporangiales; Nocardiopsidaceae. The record is from RNAcentral.